UGCGGAAGGAUCAUUAUUGAAUUAUAAGGCUCUGAUUGUGCUGGCCCCUCGGGGCAUGUGCACGUCUCUGCCCGUUAAUCCCAACCCACCCCUGUGAACCGACCGUGUGGGGCGCUCUGUAACGGAGCCGUCCCAUGCUUUAUCAUAAACCCUGCAUGUCAUCAGAAUGUAAAAAAAUYUWUWUCCUCCCCUUAAAACCGGGUSGGUAAAAAAAAAAUUAAUACAACUUUCAACAACGGAUCUCUUGGCUCUGGCAUCGAUGAAGAACGCAGCGAAAUGCGAUAAGUAAUGUGAAUUGCAGAUUUUCAGUGAAUCAUCGAAUCUUUGAACGCACCUUGCGCUACCUGGUAUUCCGGGGAGCAUGCCUGUUUGAGUGUCAUUAAAUUCUCAACCCCGAUCGGAUUUGUUUUCGCAUUCGGAGGCUUGGAUAGUGGAGCGUGCUGGCCCCCUCUCAUGGGUCGGCUCCUCUCAAAUGCAUUCGCGGAAUCGACUUUGGUCCGUUUCGGUCAUCAGUGUGAUAAAUGUUGCGCUGUUGGCUAGGAUCGAGGUGCCGCAUACAAUGGUCUUCGGACAAUUUCAUAAACAUAUUUGACCUCAAAUCAGGUAGGACUACCCGCUGAACUUAAGCAU
This 630-nucleotide ribosomal RNA is filed under the name Athelia acrospora. Its description in RNAcentral is "eukaryotic LSU rRNA". The record is from RNAcentral. Lineage: Eukaryota; Fungi; Basidiomycota; Agaricomycetes; Atheliales; Atheliaceae.